UACGAAGGGGGCUAGCGUUGCUCGGAAUGACUGGGCGUAAAGGGCGCGUAGGCGGAUGGCACAGUCAGAUGUGAAAUUCCCGGGCUUAACCUGGGGGCUGCAUUUGAUACGUGUGAUCUAGAGUGAGGAAGAGGGUCGUGGAAUUCCCAGUGUAGAGGUGAAAUUCGUAGAUAUUUGGGAAGAACACCGGUGGCGAAGGCGGCGACCUGGUCCUUGACUGACGCUGAGGCGCGAAAGCGUGGGGAGCAAACAGG
Molecule: ribosomal RNA, 254 nt
Filed under: uncultured bacterium
Lineage: Bacteria
Description: partial 16S ribosomal RNA
Rfam family: Bacterial small subunit ribosomal RNA
Source: RNAcentral